UUGGACUUUUAAUACGUCUGUUUAUUCGGUACACCACUCUGAUUUAAAUUUUCUUACAAAGAAAUUUUCGUUGUGGUCUUGUGCUCUAACUCCUACUGGUCCACCUUUCCGCCUGUCCCGGAAGUAAUGUAAUUAAUUACAUCACCAUAAUCUGCUUUCUGGAGGCGCUGCUAUCCAAUUCCGAGUGGAAGAGGCCAAGGGGACACCCACAAAGUUCAUGGAUCCUGCCAUGAGGGCAUAGUAUGGGAAAGGGCCCUGCUUGGGGACUUGCUUGGAUUGGUCCCCGGGGUAGGCGUCCUAGGGCGGGCUAGGUUGUGCUCCUCCCCUCCCUCUCCCGGAGUAUGCCCGAUUUGGUUGAUUGAUCACUCUUCAGGCUGUAAGUUGCUUCGUUUUCUAGCUCUGUCGAAAGAGAAAAUUUUCAGAUAUCCAACUUCUAUUACAUGAGUUAAGUGGGCAGCCUGUUGGCCUUUUAUUACCCAAAUGACGUGUAGGGGACAGAACAUGUCAUCUACUCAGAGUCAAAUGACUUGUGAAUAUGCCACCAAUUAAUUUUCUUCUUGACAACUCACUCUUUUCCUGAAAAAAACAGCAUAUAUUUAGACUAUUUUCAUACUCCUUGAGCUCUCUACCAUAAAAAGUUUCUUACCCCCGCAAAGAAUUAUUAUAGGGGUCUCCGAGGGGGGGCGUGACGUUACUUGGCACACAGGCUUCCUCCCUCGCGCGGGACCACCCCCACGAUCACCAAGGCACCACCACCACCGCCACCACUCGCUCGGGGCCCGGUGCCAGUCGCCUUCCCGCCAGCGUCGAGGUCUGUCCGUUCCUCGCAAUCAAUAUGAACACCCACACACCUCCCGCCGCCUCGCAGGGAACCUCCACCUCCGCAACUCGUGACUCCCCCACGCAGGAGGUUCAGGAGAUAGCCAAAAAGUCACUUCUUGCCAUGCAGGACCAAGCGGGGGAUUCCAUGGGUGGAGGAGGUGGUGGUGGUGGUGGCCUAAAUAUUUCCGAUGUCUUGUACCUAACCGAUGUGGACUCCGAGGCGCUGUGUCUUGAUCCUCUAUAUCAGCAGUGACCAGGAUUAACCAAGCCCGGAGCCAUCCCUCUCUCCCCUUCCCCCGCUCCUCCCGUCCAGCUUGAACUCCUCUCAUCUGACCAUCAGAUAUCAUUUUAGAAGAAUCAACUAAAGGGUUACCACGAGGGUUGGUUCACUGCAGCAACUGUCAUGUGUCACGCGUCAUGUGCCUUACACCCGCCAACGCAACACCGUAGCUGAGGAAGGAAAAGUCAGUAAAAGGAAUUCGAAACAUUACAAGACAUUGCUGGCGUCUGGAGAGAUCGCAACACCACAGCAUGCAGAAGGGACACGAGGGCGGUGGAAGGAUAUCCAUGCUGGCAAGGGCGUCGCAUCAACAGCAACUUCUUUUUUUUUCGAAGGGGUUGUGUGUCCUCCAGUGCCACUGACCUAGAGUGUCUUCCUCUAUUCCCAUGACUACUCCUGCUUUCCCCCAUGUUCAGUGACCAGUCAAUGUCUUCCCAAGGGCGCCGCUGUCCCCCUCGAGUAUCAGUAUGGCCCUGCUGUGGCCCAAUGUCUUUCCUACUUCUCCAGUGCCCAGCGUCUUCUUAUUAAUACCGCCUUGAGUACCGCUGUCUUUCUAGCUCCUCCUUUCCCGUGUAGCUACCUCGUCUUCAAUUCUUCUCUUCCCUUACCGCUGUCUUCCUAGUUUAACCUUCAUUCAGCGCUUCCAAAUGAUCUUCCAUCAAACACUUAGUGCAAUUUGUGCUAAAGCAAUAACAAAAGUAAGUUUUGGGCUGUCAAAGCUUCCGAGAGAUCUUCCAUCAAGUAGGUAGCUUUUAUGUCCACAACGAGGGUGUUUUUGACUCUCGCUUUACUGUUAUUUUUUUUCAGAAACUUGACUAAAUAGAGAGCCGAAAGUGCUUUUGUAGUGAUGUAUUGGGGCAUCAUUUAUUAUGAAUAGAACUAUAUUGUUAAGAAA
Molecule: long non-coding RNA, 1997 nt
Organism: Eriocheir sinensis (Chinese mitten crab)
Lineage: Eukaryota; Metazoa; Arthropoda; Malacostraca; Decapoda; Varunidae
Exons: 2
Source: RefSeq, a predicted model, not a curated record